Molecule: ribosomal RNA, 489 nt
Filed under: uncultured bacterium
Lineage: Bacteria
Description: partial 16S ribosomal RNA
Rfam family: Bacterial small subunit ribosomal RNA
Source: RNAcentral
AUUGAACGCUGGCGGCAGGCCUAACACAUGCAAGUCGAACGGUAACAGGAAACAGCUUGCUGUUUCGCUGACGAGUGGCGGACGGGUGAGUAAUGUCUGGGAAACUGCCUGAUGGAGGGGGAUAACUACUGGAAACGGUAGCUAAUACCGCAUAACGUCGCAAGACCAAAGAGGGGGACCUUCGGGCCUCUUGCCAUCGGAUGUGCCCAGAUGGGAUUAGCUAGUAGGUGGGGUAACGGCUCACCUAGGCGACGAUCCCUAGCUGGUCUGAGAGGAUGACCAGCCACACUGGAACUGAGACACGGUCCAGACUCCUACGGGAGGCAGCAGUGGGGAAUAUUGCACAAUGGGCGCAAGCCUGAUGCAGCCAUGCCGCGUGUAUGAAGAAGGCCUUCGGGUUGUAAAGUACUUUCAGCGGGGAGGAAGGGAGUAAAGUUAAUACCUUUACUCAUUGACGUUACCCGCAGAAGAAGCACCGGAUAACUCCGU